This 429-nucleotide ribosomal RNA is filed under the name Actinomycetes bacterium. RNAcentral describes it as "Actinobacteria bacterium partial 16S ribosomal RNA". It matches the Rfam family "Bacterial small subunit ribosomal RNA", at positions 355 to 776 of the family's 1533-position model. Lineage: Bacteria; Bacillati; Actinomycetota; Actinomycetes. The record is from RNAcentral.
UAGGGAAUCUUCCGCAAUGGGCGAAAGCCUGACGGAGCAACGCCGCGUGAGUGAUGAAGGUCUUCGGAUCGUAAAACUCUGUUAUUAGGGAAGAACAAAUGUGUAAGUAACUAUGCACGUCUUGACGGUACCUAAUCAGAAAGCCACGGCUAACUACGUGCCAGCAGCCGCGGUAAUACGUAGGUGGCAAGCGUUAUCCGGAAUUAUUGGGCGUAAAGCGCGCGUAGGCGGUUUUUUAAGUCUGAUGUGAAAGCCCACGGCUCAACCAUGGGGGGUCAUUGGAAACUGGAAAACUAGAGUGCAGAAGGGGAAAGUGGAAUUCCAUGUGUAGCGGUGAAAUGCGCAGGGAUAUGGAGGAACACCAGUGGCGAAGGCGACUUUCUGGUCUGUAACUGACGCUGAUGUGCGAAAGCGAGGGGAUCAAACGGG